ACGCUCGACACCUACGGAAGGCAGCAGUGGGGAAUAUUGCACAAUGGGGGAAACCCUGAUGCAGCGAUGCCGCGUGAAGGAAGAAGUAUCUCGGUAUGUAAACUUCUAUCAGCAGGGAAGAAAAUGACGGUACCUGACUAAGAAGCCCCGGCUAACUACGUGUCAGCAGCCGCGGUAAUCUGAGCGGGCUGGCAAGGC
Molecule: ribosomal RNA, 198 nt
Filed under: uncultured bacterium
Lineage: Bacteria
Description: partial 16S ribosomal RNA
Rfam family: Bacterial small subunit ribosomal RNA
Source: RNAcentral